UACGGGGGGGGCAAGCGUUGUUCGGAAUUACUGGGCGUAAAGGGUUUGUAGGUGGCCGACUAAGUCAGACGUGAAAUCCCUCAGCUUAACUGGGGAACUGCGUCUGAGACUGAUCGGCUAGAGGACAGGAGAGGAACGCGGAAUUCCAGGUGUAGCGGUGAAAUGCGUAGAUAUCUGGAGGAACACCGGUGGCGAAGGCGGCAUCCUGGACCAUUACUGACGCUGAUGAGCGAAAGCCAGGGGAGCAAACGGG
Molecule: ribosomal RNA, 253 nt
Filed under: uncultured prokaryote
Description: partial 16S ribosomal RNA
Rfam family: Bacterial small subunit ribosomal RNA
Source: RNAcentral